This 468-nucleotide ribosomal RNA is filed under the name uncultured bacterium. RNAcentral describes it as "partial 16S ribosomal RNA". It matches the Rfam family "Bacterial small subunit ribosomal RNA", at positions 28 to 507 of the family's 1533-position model. The record is from RNAcentral.
GACGAACGCUGGCGGCGUGCUUAACACAUGCAAGUCGAACGGAAAGGCCCUGCUUUUGUGGGGUGCUCGAGUGGCGAACGGGUGAGUAACACGUGAGUAACCUGCCCUUGACUUUGGGAUAACUUCAGGAAACUGGGGCUAAUACCGGAUAGGAGCUCCUGCUGCAUGGUGGGGGUUGGAAAGUUUCGGCGGUUGGGGAUGGACUCGCGGCUUAUCAGCUUGUUGGUGGGGUAGUGGCUUACCAAGGCUUUGACGGGUAGCCAGCCUGAGAGGGUGACCGGCCACAUUGGGACUGAGAUACGGCCCAGACUCCUACGGGAGGCAGCAGUGGGGAAUAUUGCACAAUGGGCGGAAGCCUGAUGCAGCAACGCCGCGUGCGGGAUGACGGCCUUCGGGUUGUAAACCGCUUUCGCCUGUGGCGAAGCGUGAGUGACGGUAAUGGGUAAAGAAGCACCGGCUAACUACGUG